UACGUAGGGGGCGAGCGUUGUCCGGAAUUACUGGGCGUAAAGGGCACGCAGGCUGUGAUUCAAGUCAGCUGUAAAAGGAUGCGGCUUAACCGUGUUUAGCAGUUGAAACUGGAUGACUGGAGUGCUGGAGAGGCAAGUGGAAUUCCCAGUGUAGCGGUGAAAUGCGUAGAUAUUGGGAAGAACAUCGGUGGCGAAGGCGACUUGCUGGCCAGUAACUGACGCUGAGGUGCGAAAGCCAGGGUAGCAAACGGG
Molecule: ribosomal RNA, 252 nt
Filed under: uncultured bacterium
Lineage: Bacteria
Description: partial 16S ribosomal RNA
Rfam family: Bacterial small subunit ribosomal RNA
Source: RNAcentral